GCCAGCAACUAUAUCAUCCUGCAACUCUAUUGAGCCCUGCAACUCGCAACUAGCAACCCACUGAGCUUAGCAGGUGUGAGCCUGGUCAGUUCCUGGAUGGGAGACCUCCUGGGAAAAACUAAGGUUGUUGCUGGAA
Molecule: ribosomal RNA, 136 nt
Filed under: Lepisosteus oculatus (spotted gar)
Lineage: Eukaryota; Metazoa; Chordata; Actinopteri; Semionotiformes; Lepisosteidae
Source: RNAcentral